Molecule: ribosomal RNA, 640 nt
Filed under: Saturnispora diversa
Lineage: Eukaryota; Fungi; Ascomycota; Pichiomycetes; Pichiales; Pichiaceae
Description: LSU rRNA
Rfam family: Eukaryotic large subunit ribosomal RNA
Source: RNAcentral
AAGAGUUUGUCUGAAAUUGAAGCUCCCCAGCGCUACUACGUAUCCGCAGGGAAUAAUCAAUUCGACCUCAAAUCAGGUAGGAGUACCCGCUGAACUUAAGCAUAUCAAUAAGCGGAGGAAAAGAAACCAACCGGGAUUGCCUCAGUAGCGGCGAGUGAAGCGGCAAAAGCUCCACUUUGAAAGCGUUUCGACGCGUUGUAGUGCGGUUCAGUCUUUGAGUGACGGAUGACUAAGUCCCCUGGAACGGGGUGCCAUAGAGGGUGAGAGCCCCGUGAGUUGUCUUUUUAGCUCUUUAAGUCUUUACCAAAGAGUCGAGUUGUUUGGGAAUGCAGCUCUAAGUGGGUGGUAAAUUCCAUCUAAGGCUAAAUACCGGCGAGAGACCGAUAGCGAACAAGUACAGUGAUGGAAAGAUGAAAAGCACUUUGAAAAGAGAGUGAAACAGUACGUGAAAUUGUUGAAAGGGAAGGGUAUUUGGCCCGACAUGGGUUCUGUGCACCGUUGCCUCUUGUAGGCGGCGCUCUGCUGGAGCCUGGGCCAGCAUCAGUUUUCCGGCGAGGAUAAGAAGUUUUGAACCACAUUGUGGGGAUGAGUUUGAUGCUCGCAUGGGGGACUGAGGACUGCCGUUGUAGGAUGCUGCUCG